RNAcentral lists this transfer RNA (68 nucleotides) under Diptera sp. 77 LC-2017. Its description in RNAcentral is "tRNA-Thr". Lineage: Eukaryota; Metazoa; Arthropoda; Insecta; Diptera. The record is from RNAcentral.
AUUUAAAUAGUUUAAAUAAAACAUUGAUCUUGUAAAUCAAAAAUAAAUAAAAAAAAAUUUUUUAAAUA